RNAcentral lists this ribosomal RNA (440 nucleotides) under uncultured bacterium. RNAcentral describes it as "bacterial SSU rRNA". It matches the Rfam family "Bacterial small subunit ribosomal RNA", at positions 338 to 795 of the family's 1533-position model. The record is from RNAcentral.
CCUACGGGAGGCAGCAGUGGGGAAUCUUGGACAAUGGGCGCAAGCCUGAUCCAGCCAUGCCGCGUGAGUGAAGAAGGCCCUAGGGUUGUAAAGCUCUUUCGGCGGGGAAGAUAAUGACGGUACCCGCAGAAGAAGCCCCGGCUAACUCCGUGCCAGCAGCCGCGGUAAUACGGAGGGGGCUAGCGUUGUUCGGAAUCACUGGGCGUAAAGCGCGCGUAGGCGGAUAUUUAAGUCAGAGGUGAAAUCCCAGGGCUCAACCCUGGAACUGCCUUUGAUACUGGAUGUCUUGAGUCCGGGAGAGGUGAGUGGAAUUCCCAGUGUAGAGGUGAAAUUCGUAGAUAUUGGGAAGAACACCAGUGGCGAAGGCGGCUCACUGGCCCGGUACUGACGCUGAGGCGCGAAAGCGUGGGGAGCAAACAGGAUUAGAUACCCGAGUAGUC